UACGGAGGGUGCAAGCGUUAUCCGGAUUCACUGGGCUUAAAGGGUGCGUAGGCGGACAGGUAAGUCAGUGGUGAAAUCUCUGGGCUUAACCCAGAAACUGCCGUUGAUACUAUUUGUCUUGAAUAUCCUGGAGGUAGGCGGAAUAUGUCAUGUAGCGGUGAAAUGCUUAGAUAUGACAUAGAACACCGAUAGCGAAGGCAGCUUACUACAGGAUGAUUGACGCUGAGGCACGAAAGCGUGGGGAGCAAACAGG
This 253-nucleotide ribosomal RNA is filed under the name uncultured bacterium. RNAcentral describes it as "partial 16S ribosomal RNA". It matches the Rfam family "Bacterial small subunit ribosomal RNA", at positions 524 to 776 of the family's 1533-position model. The record is from RNAcentral.